This 580-nucleotide ribosomal RNA is filed under the name uncultured beta proteobacterium. Its description in RNAcentral is "bacterial SSU rRNA". It matches the Rfam family "Bacterial small subunit ribosomal RNA", at positions 338 to 909 of the family's 1533-position model. The record is from RNAcentral. Lineage: Bacteria; Pseudomonadati; Pseudomonadota; Betaproteobacteria.
CCUACGGGAGGCAGCAGUGGGGAAUUUUGGACAAUGGGCGAAAGCCUGAUCCAGCCAUGCCGCGUGAGUGAAGAAGGCCUUCGGGUUGUAAAGCUCUUUUAGUCGGAAAGAAAGAGUUGCAAUGAAUAAUUGUGAUUUAUGACGGUACCGACAGAAAAAGCACCGGCUAACUACGUGCCAGCAGCCGCGGUAAUACGUAGGGUGCGAGCGUUAAUCGGAAUUACUGGGCGUAAAGGGUGCGCAGGCGGUCUUGCAAGUCAGAUGUGAAAGCCCCGGGCUUAACCUGGGAAUUGCGUUUGAAACUACAAGGCUAGAGUGCAGCAGAGGGGAGUGGAAUUCCAUGUGUAGCAGUGAAAUGCGUAGAGAUGUGGAAGAACACCGAUGGCGAAGGCAGCUCCCUGGGUUGACACUGACGCUCAUGCACGAAAGCGUGGGGARCAAACAGGAUUAGAUACCCUGGUAGUCCACGCCCUAAACGAUGUCAACUAGUUGUCGGAUCUAAUUAAGGAUUUGGUAACGUAGCUAACGCGUGAAGUUGACCGCCUGGGGAGUACGGUCGCAAGAUUAAAACUCAAAGGAA